Molecule: ribosomal RNA, 253 nt
Filed under: uncultured bacterium
Lineage: Bacteria
Description: partial 16S ribosomal RNA
Rfam family: Bacterial small subunit ribosomal RNA
Source: RNAcentral
UACGGAGGAUGCAAGCGUUAUCCGGAAUGAUUGGGCGUAAAGCGUCCGCAGGUGGCAAUGUAAGUCUGCUGUCAAAGCGUCUGGCUCAACCAGAUAAAGGCAGUGGAAACUACAUAGCUAGAGUAAGGUAGGGGUAGAGGGAAUUCCUGGUGUAGCGGUGAAAUGCGUAGAGAUCAGGAAGAACACCGGUGGUGAAGGCGCCACUCUGGGCCGUAACUGACGCUGAGGAGCGAAAGCGUGGGUAGCAAACAGG